This 504-nucleotide ribosomal RNA is filed under the name uncultured bacterium. RNAcentral's name for it is "partial 16S ribosomal RNA". It matches the Rfam family "Bacterial small subunit ribosomal RNA", at positions 30 to 523 of the family's 1533-position model. The record is from RNAcentral.
AUUGAACGCUGGCGGCAUGCCUUACACAUGCAAGUCGAACGGCAGCAUGGAGAGCUUGCUCUCUGAUGGCGAGUGGCGAACGGGUGAGUAAAGCAUCGGAACGUACCGUGUAGUGGGGGAUAACGUAGCGAAAGUUACGCUAAUACCGCAUACGCACUGAGGUGGAAAGCAGGGGAUCGUAAGACCUUGCGCUAUACGAGCGGCCGAUGUCAGAUUAGCUAGUUGGUAGGGUAAAGGCCUACCAAGGCGACGAUCUGUAGCGGGUCUGAGAGGAUGAUCCGCCACACUGGGACUGAGACACGGCCCAGACUCCUACGGGAGGCAGCAGUGGGGAGUUUUGGACAAUGGGGGCAACCCUGAUCCAGCCAUGCCGCGUGAGUGAAGAAGGCCUUCGGGUUGUAAAGCUCUUUCGGCCGGGAAGAAAUCGCACAGGCUACUACCCUGUGUGGAUGACGGUACCGGCAUAAGAAGCACCGGCUAACUACGUGCCAGCAGCCGCCGUAA